Molecule: ribosomal RNA, 233 nt
Filed under: uncultured bacterium
Lineage: Bacteria
Description: partial 16S ribosomal RNA
Rfam family: Bacterial small subunit ribosomal RNA
Source: RNAcentral
CGCGUGGGCGACCUACCUUCGUGUGGGGGAUAACUGGCCGAAAGGCCCGCUAAUACCGCAUAAUAUUUCCGUGACUUACGAAUGGGAAUCAAAGCUGGGGAUCUUCGGACCUGGCACAUGAAGAGGGGCUUGCGUCUGAUUAGCUAGUUGGUGGGGUAAUGGCUCACCAAGGCGACGAUCAGUAGCCGACCUGAGAGGGUGAUCGGCCACACUGGAACUGAGACACGGUCCAG